This 506-nucleotide ribosomal RNA is filed under the name uncultured bacterium. RNAcentral describes it as "bacterial SSU rRNA". It matches the Rfam family "Bacterial small subunit ribosomal RNA", at positions 338 to 857 of the family's 1533-position model. The record is from RNAcentral.
CCUACGGGAGGCAGCAGUGGGGAAUCUUGCGCAAUGGGCGAAAGCCUGACGCAGCCAUGCCGCGUGAAUGAUGAAGGUCUUAGGAUUGUAAAAUUCUUUCACCGGGGACGAUAAUGACGGUACCCGGAGAAGAAGCCCCGGCUAACUUCGUGCCAGCAGCCGCGGUAAUACGAAGGGGGCUAGCGUUGCUCGGAAUUACUGGGCGUAAAGGGAGCGUAGGCGGAUAGUUUAGUCAGAGGUGAAAGCCCAGGGCUCAACCUUGGAAUUGCCUUUGAUACUGGCUAUCUUGAGUAUGGGAGAGGUAUGCGGAACUCCGAGUGUAGAGGUGAAAUUCGUAGAUAUUCGGAAGAACACCAGUGGCGAAGGCGGCAUACUGGCCCAUUACUGACGCUGAGGCUCGAAAGCGUGGGGAGCAAACAGGAUUAGAUACCCUGGUAGUCCACGCUGUAAACGAUGAGUGCUAGUUGUCGGUCGAUGCAUGCAUGUCGGUGGACGCGACGCGUACG